UCGAGAAUCUUCGGCAAUGGACGCAAGUCUGACCGAGCGACGCCGCGUGCGGGAUGAAGGUCUUCGGAUUGUAAACCGCUGUCAGAGGGGAUGAAGUGUAUGGGGGUACUCCCCUGUACUUGACAGAGCCUCAGAGGAAGCACGGGCUAAGUUCGUGCCAGCAGCCGCGGUAAUACGAACUGUGCGAACGUUAUUCGGAAUCACUGGGCUUAAAGGGUGCGUAGGCGGUUAUCUAAGUCAGGUGUGAAAUCUCUCGGCUCAACCGGGAAACUGCGCUUGAAACUGGGUGACUGGAGUGAUGCAGGGGUGUGUGGAACUUCCGGUGGAGCGGUGAAAUGUGUAGAUAUCGGAAGGAACGCCAGCAGCGAAAGCGGCACACUGGGCAUUUUCUGACGCUGAGGCACGAAAGCUAGGGGAGUGAACGGGAUUAGAUACCCCCGUAGUCC
RNAcentral lists this ribosomal RNA (446 nucleotides) under uncultured bacterium. RNAcentral's name for it is "bacterial SSU rRNA". It matches the Rfam family "Bacterial small subunit ribosomal RNA", at positions 355 to 796 of the family's 1533-position model. The record is from RNAcentral.